Microcebus murinus (gray mouse lemur) is the source of this 1664-nucleotide non-coding RNA. The record is from RefSeq and is a predicted model, not a curated record. Lineage: Eukaryota; Metazoa; Chordata; Mammalia; Primates; Cheirogaleidae.
GUUUGAGCUCAGGAGUUCGAGACCAGCCUGAGCAAGAUGGUCCGGGUCGUCAUCUGUGGAGUAUGGAAACCUGAAUCCUUCUCAGUAAACCUCAUUUUCACGCUUGCCUUACUUGGGUGCGUCUCGGCACUCCGGCCAUGAGCGCACCGAGAACCGACAUGUCAGACUGCAACCCCACAAGCAGGUGACUGGCCCAGCCGUGCGGAGGAACUCUAGAAACAGGGCAAGGGCUCAGGUGUCAUGAGCAGUCUUUUUGUCAUGUUGGCCAUCGUGCACUUUCAGAAUGUGGAUUUUCUUUGUGAUGCUGUCCACAUUUUGUUCAUUGUGUUCGUGGGAAAGGCCAGGCGAGGCAGGCUCCUCCUCUUCCUGGGUAUUCUUCGGGGCUCAGCUGGAAUGUCCCUUCCUCCAGGAAGCCUUCCUUUCCUGACUGCCCAGAUGACGUUACAUCCUCUGUUACACACGCCCGAGGUACCCUGCCUCCUCCCAAGGAAGACGGUCACAGAACAAACCAUCGUGUGUGGGAUAAAAUCCGCACUCACGGCUGCUUCCCGACUGACCUCUCACGUCUCUCCACUGGCCCCUGUGCCCUGAAUUUCAGCCCCGGUUUCCGGCCUGAGAGUCUGCACACACAUGUCUUCUUCCACAUGAAACACUGUCCUAUCCCAGCCUUCUUUGCCUGGCAACACUUACUUGUCCUCUGGUCACCUCUUCUGUGAAGCCGCCCCUGCCCCUGCCACCUGCAUGCACAGCCCUACCUCAUGCCCCACAGAGCCCAGUGGUUUUCAUUUUCCUGGCCCUUAUUCAUUGCAUUUUUUGGUGUGUAUUUCAAUUUUCUUUAAUUUUGGCUUUAGCAGCUUUAUUAAUGUAUAAUUGACAUACAAUAAACUGCACAGAAGUGUACAAUUUUAUACGUUUUGACACAUGUACAUACUUGUGAAAGAAUCACAAUCAAGAUAAUGAAUUUGUCUAUUACCCCCCCCCCAAUUUCCUCCUGUCCCUUGAUAAUCUCUUCUUCCUUUCUCCCUUCCCUCUCUGUCAUUUGCAGGUGUCCACUGAUUGGGUCUCUGUCACCAGUCAUUAGUUUGCAUUAAAUGUAAUCAUAUAGCAUGUAUUCUUUUUUACCUGUUUUUUUUUUAAUCAUUGUAAUUAUUUUGAGAUUUGUCCAUGGAGUAGCAACAGUUCAUUGGUUGUGUUUUUUUUUUAAUUGUUGAGUAAUAGUAUUCUGCAUAUAUGCAUAUAACACAAUUUGUUUACUCACCUGUUGGUGGGCAUUUGUGUUGCUUCUUCCUCUUUGUACGAACGCAUGCUUUUAUUUUUCCUGGGUAAAUACCUAGGAAGGCAAUGUCUGGGUGAUAAGGCUGUAUGCAUUUAACUUUUUAACAAACUGCCACGCUGUUUUCCAAAGUGGUUUCACCCUUUUACUUGCUCAGCAGUAGAGUAUGAAAGUCCCAUUUGCGCUACAUCCUUUUCAACACUUAGUAAGGUCACCCUUUUUCAUGUUAGCCAUCGUAAGAGGUGUGAAUAGUGUCUUAUGCAGGUUUUAAGUUGCAUUUUCCUAAUGACUAAUGACGCUGAGCCAUCUUUCAUGUCCUUAUUUGUUAUCCGUGUACCUUGUUUGAAGUAGUCUGUAUAAACUAAAAUGCUCACCUCCCCCCCCCCAACAG